This 383-nucleotide ribosomal RNA is filed under the name uncultured eukaryote. RNAcentral describes it as "partial 18S ribosomal RNA". It matches the Rfam family "Eukaryotic small subunit ribosomal RNA", at positions 592 to 976 of the family's 1831-position model. The record is from RNAcentral.
CAAUAGCGUAUAUUAAAGUUGUUGCAGUUAAAAAGCUCGUAGUUGGAUUUCUGGUAGGAGUGACCGUUCCGAACUUGAUUGUUCGUGUAUUGUGUUUUCUCCAGCCAUCCUUGUGGAGAACUUUUCUUGCAUUAAUUUGUAGGGAUUGGGACCCGCAUCGUUUACUGUGAAAAAAUUAGAGUGUUUAAAGCAGGCAAUCGCUUGAAUACAUUAGCAUGGGAUAAUAAGAUAGGACUUUGGUACUAUUUUGUUGGUUUGCAUACCAAAUUAAUGAUCAACAGGAACAGUUUGAGGAUAUUCGUAUGAACAUGUCAGAGGUGAAAUUCUUGGAUUUUGAUCAGACGAACUACUGCGAAAGCAUUUAUCAAGGAUGUUUUCAUUAA